Molecule: long non-coding RNA, 2438 nt
Organism: Triticum dicoccoides
Lineage: Eukaryota; Viridiplantae; Streptophyta; Magnoliopsida; Poales; Poaceae
Exons: 7
Source: RefSeq, a predicted model, not a curated record
CCGCACACGCCAGUCCAGCCCAGCCCAACUCCCGUUCAUACUGCCUCCCGGACCGGCGUCUCCGGCUCCGGCUCCACCGACGUGGCCCGCGACGGCGGCGGCGGCCCUCCUCUCCUGCGUGGCUGCGAACCAUCUCCCCUCGCGCAGUUCGAGCCUUGUAUGGCUGUAUGCGCAGCGCUCUUCAGCGACACCAAUCUCGCCGCGGACUUCCCUUCCCCGGCGUGCUCUGGUAGGUUCCGCCGCAACGUGGACUUCCCCGACCGGGGAUGGCUCUGUCUUCCCCUUCCCCGCGCAACGCCCCCACCACCCGUCCCCGUUCCCGGCGCCGGGGUGAUAUUGUCCCGUCCCCGAUCCCCAUGGGGUGGCUGUCCCCGUUGCAGCUACAGGCUGACAUCUGGAGGAAACUGCCAUUUAUUAAUUUGGAGCAGGAACGGGAGGUCCACGCGUGUGCCCUCUCAGAAACAGCGGAUGCUAGUGAAGGAAGGCGCUCGGCACAGCCAUGGCUAUGGUGCGCCCGUUCCCGGACCACCUCCCCUACUGUAGCACAGCAUGGUUUCCUUCCUCCUCCCUUUUGAUAGUUGACUUCAGUUUUGCAAAGUUGGAAGGUGGAAGGACUAACACAGUAUAUGGUCUCGUUGAAAGUAGGACCUCGGUGAUCUAAGCAAAUAAGAUAGAAGUUAGGUGGAAGAGAAGGGAAAAUUACAGCAACCACCAAGAAAUGAGAGAUCUAAGUUAGUGUUCAUGAAAGUUUAGAUCAAUAUUUGUAUUACUGUCCAUGGUGUCUCAGAUCGCAACUUCAACAAUAAUUUUGCUUGGAGAUAGCAAAUUCUUGUUUCAUGGUUUUGGUAGAGAUCAUCUUUUACUCAGAGUAGAACCAGGUUACGUUAUAGGUUCAGCCGUUUGUUGCUACAUUUCUUUCUCCUAUAAGAUGUAUCUAGCAUCAUCUGUUUACGUGAUCCAUUGGUGCAUACACAGCUCUAUUUGGGUUCAUAGGAAAUAAUUAAUGUUUGUUUUUUUGUAAAAGAUAAUCUUGUGCACUUGCUACAUUGGUUUUCUUUGAUUAGAUGCAUUCUUUGCUGCUUCUCUUGGAUUAUGAGGAUGAUCUAGAUGUGCGUCUUCUAACAACUAUUUAGGCUUUGUGAUUUCAUCUGUUUAGUACUUCAGUCACAGUUUUUGCCUUCUUUGUUUCGCUUCCCAUGGAUUCCUAUGGAUUUCCAGAAUUGAAGAUGCUGAGUUUGUGGGACAGUGCUCCAAUCUCCUGUCCAUGCCUUUCUGGUUUUGUUUGCUUAGUUUUUUUAUGGCAGAUUUAUUGACGCUCUCAGCAAAUUGCUCAUUACAAUGGCUUAGCUAAGAAGCUUAAUAUGGAAGAUCGGCAGGAUAAACAUUCUUGAUGUUUACAGGAAUUACUUUCCCACCUGUUACUGUUUUAAGUUUUUUUUUUCUGUAUACAUACAUACUAUUCACAUAUUAACUCUCGGUGAUACACAAAUUUACAAGCAGAUUGUGUAUGGUGAUAUAUUUUUAAAUAUUUCUCUUUUGAAGACUAUUCUCUGAUACCUUGACAACUCUAUUUCAAUCCAUAUUCUUGUCUUGGCCACACUUAUACUUUACAUUUGCAGGAUUUUGGUGGUUCUGCAAGACUACAGAAGAUCCUAUUCAAGGAGCAGUCUGACAACUUCGAAUUUUUACAGCACAUCUUGCUGGUCCUGGACUGCUGGUUCAGGAGGGAUGAAGAAGGUUCCAACAGUUACACCAUUGCCUAUCCUUCUCACCAGAUGCUAUCUGGCAUGGUCCCAUGAAUGAAGUUUCGACAUGCGAUCUAGUUUGUCGGCAUGUGUGCACUUUUUUCAACACCUGCAGUUUGGAAGGCGGCCACUUUAUUCAAGAAACUGCAUCUUGGAAGAGAUUUAUUUAAUUACGAGGAAAGAAAACAAUACUACACUACCCUCACUUUUAUGAGCAAGCAGGAGCUUGGAUGAGAAGACCAAGCUCAAGGUAUGAGCUCAUUGAGAUGGUCCUUUUCUCAAAGGUACACUGUAUUUGGAGCCUUGGACCUUUGACAAGACCUAUUUGUUUUCUGAACAAACAAUAUUCUUCUGUCAUUUGAUAUGGAAUCUGCUUUCCUGAUGGUAGUCCGUUAGUUUGCACAAGGGAGACGCCACCAAGGAAACAGGACAGGGAGAAGCUCUGACAAAUUUGAGAGUGGUGGGCCCUAAUGACAGCUGUUCAUAUACAGAUGAUUUUUCAAGAGGACGCCAAUUUUGUUCUUUUCAAAACCGAACAUCUCAUGAUCAACUUGGUAGUUGGUACCUUAUAUAGUUCUUAAAAAUAUAUUUGGAGAAUGUGUGGAUUGGAGAGAUUAUGGAUGAGGACUAGCUUGUGUAUGACCUUUCAUUUUUGGGUUAUGUUUAUUAGAAUAGAGUUGUUCCCACUGUCUA